AUGAUGAAAAAAAGAAGGAACAACGGUCGUACCAAAAAGGGCCGCGGCCACGUGCAGCCUAUUUGCGACACGAACUGUGCCCAAUGUGUGCCCAAGGACAAGGCUAUUAACAAAUUCAUCAUUGGAAACACAGUGGAGGCUGCAGCAGUCAGGGACAUUUCUGAAGCGAGCGUCUUUGAUGCCUAUGUGCUUCCCAAGCUGUAUUUGAAGCUACAUUACUGUCUGAGUUGUGCAAUUCACAGCAAAGUAGUCAGGAAUCGAUCUUGUGAAGCCCACAAGGACUGAACACCCCUACUCCAAUUUAGACCUGCGGAUGCUGCCCCACAACCCCCACCAAAGCCCACGUAA
This 348-nucleotide long non-coding RNA is filed under the name Homo sapiens (human). RNAcentral's name for it is "non-protein coding lnc-C9orf3-2:1". Lineage: Eukaryota; Metazoa; Chordata; Mammalia; Primates; Hominidae. The record is from RNAcentral.